GACGGCGUGGUGUAAUGGCUAACACAUCAGUCCGAUCUAGGUCUACUGAAGAUGCUGGUUCGCUCCCAGCCGCCUAUU
Meloidogyne enterolobii is the source of this 78-nucleotide non-coding RNA. The record is from the annotation of a GenBank genome assembly. Lineage: Eukaryota; Metazoa; Nematoda; Chromadorea; Rhabditida; Meloidogynidae.